UGGGUCGGUGAGACGGUCGCGUCGCGUUCGCUUCGGCGGGCGUGCCGAGGAACGUCCGGGCUGCACAGAGGAGAACGGUGGGUAACGCCCACCCGGGGCAACCCGCGAGAAAGUGCAACAGAAAGCAGACCGACCGCUCCGGGCAACCGGAGCGGCACGGGUGAAACGGUGGUGUAAGAGACCACCGGCGUCCGUGGUGACACGGGCGGCCAGGUAAACCUCGUUCGCAGCAAGGCCAGACAGCAGGCGUUGAAGCUCCUCGCCGAGUCUGCGGGUAGGCCGCUAGAGGGUGUCGGCAACGGCACUCCGAGAGAGAUGACCGUCACCGCCGGUUUCGGCCGGCGGGACAGAACCCGGCGUAUGAUCCGGCCCAUUCU
Non-coding RNA from Leucobacter sp. Ag1, 377 nucleotides. It matches the Rfam family "Bacterial RNase P class A". Rfam says of the family: Ribonuclease P (RNase P) is a ubiquitous endoribonuclease, found in archaea, bacteria and eukarya as well as chloroplasts and mitochondria. The record is from Rfam. NCBI's taxonomy places the organism in Bacteria, Bacillati, Actinomycetota, Actinomycetes, Micrococcales, Microbacteriaceae.